UACGAAGGGUGCAAGCGUUACUCGGAAUUACUGGGCGUGAAGCGUGCGUAGGUGGUUUGUUAAGUCUGUUGUGAAAGCCCCGGGCUCAACCUGGGAAUGGCAAUGGAUACUGGCAGGCUAGAGUGCGGUAGAGGGUAGUGGAAUUCCCGGUGUAGCGGUGAAAUGCGUAGAGAUCGGGAGGAACACCAGUGGCGAAGGCGGCUACCUGGACCAGCACUGACACUGAGGCACGAAAGCUAGGGGAGCAAACAGG
RNAcentral lists this ribosomal RNA (253 nucleotides) under uncultured bacterium. Its description in RNAcentral is "partial 16S ribosomal RNA". It matches the Rfam family "Bacterial small subunit ribosomal RNA", at positions 524 to 776 of the family's 1533-position model. The record is from RNAcentral.